RNAcentral lists this ribosomal RNA (455 nucleotides) under uncultured bacterium. Its description in RNAcentral is "bacterial SSU rRNA". It matches the Rfam family "Bacterial small subunit ribosomal RNA", at positions 1 to 507 of the family's 1533-position model. The record is from RNAcentral.
CACGAGUUUGAUCAUGGCUCAGAUUGAACGCUGGCGGCAUGCCUAACACAUGCAAGUCGAACGAAGUCUUCGGACUUAGUGGCGCACGGGUGCGUAACGCGUGGGAAUCUGCCCUUGGGUACGGAAUAACUCAGAGAAAUUUGUGCUAAUACCGUAUAAUGUCGUAAGACCAAAGAUUUAUCGCCCAAGGAUGAGCCCGCGUAAGAUUAGCUAGUUGGUGAGGUAAAAGCUCACCAAGGCGACGAUCUUUAGCUGGUCUGAGAGGAUGAUCAGCCACACUGGGACUGAGACACGGCCCAGACUCCUACGGGAGGCAGCAGUGGGGAAUAUUGGACAAUGGGCGAAAGCCUGAUCCAGCAAUGCCGCGUGAGUGAUGAAGGCCCUAGGGUUGUAAAGCUCUUUUACCCGGGAUGAUAAUGACAGUACCGGGAGAAUAAGCUCCGGCUAACUCCGUG